GAGUUUGAUCCUGGCUCAGGAUGAACGCUGGCGGCGUGGAUAAGGCAUGCAAGUCGAGUGGGUUUAGACCCACGGCAGACGAGGUAGUAAUACGCAGGUACGCACCCCUAAGUCGGGCAUAAUCAGUCGAAAGAUUGAAUAACUCCCGAUGGUCUCGAAAGAGUAAAGAUUUAUCGCUUAGGGAGCGGCCUGUGCGCUAUUAGCUAGUUGGUAGGGUAACGGCCUACCAAGGCGAAGAUGGCUAGGGGACCUGAGAGGGUGACCCCCACCGAUGGAACUGAGACACGGUCUAUACACCUACGGGUGGCUGCAGUCGAGAAUCUUCCGCAAUGGACGAAAGUCUGACGGAGCGACGCCGCGUGGUAGAUGAAGUCCUUCGGGAUGUAAAUACCUUUUAUGAGGGAAGAAGUUUAUUGACGGUACCUCAUGAAUAAGGAGUUGCUAAACUCGUGCCAGCAGCAGCGGUAAUACGAGUGCUCCAAGCGUUAUCCGGAAUCAUUGGGCGUAAAGGGUGUGUAGGCGGUUAUGUUAGUCUUCUGUCAAAUUCUUCGGCUUAACCGGGGGCUCGCAGAGGAAACGGCAUAACUCGAGGAUGGGAGAGGUGUAUGGAACUCAUAGUGUAGGGGUGAAAUCCGUUGAUAUUAUGGGGAACACCAAAUGCGAAGGCAGUACACUGGCCCACUCCUGACGCUGAAACACGAAAGCGUGGGUAGCGAAUGGGAUUAGAUACCCCAGUAGUCCACGCCCUAAACGAUGUUCUCUUGGUUUACGGAGUAUCGACCCUCUGUGAGCCGAAGCUAACGCGAUAAGAGAACCGCCUGGGUAGUACGACCGCAAGGUUAAAACUCAAAGGAAUAGACGGGGACUUGCACAAGCAGUGGAUUAUGUGGUUUAAUUCGAUGUCAAACGAAGAACCUCACCAGGGUUUGAAACCUAGCUGAAUACUUUAGGAAACUUUAGUAGCCUCACAAGGGCAGUUAGGCAGGUGAUGCAUGGCCGUCGUCAGUUCGUGGUUUGAAUUGUUCCCUUAAGUGGGGUAACGAACGCAACCCUCGUUGCCUGUUACAAGUGUCAGGCGAGACUGCCCACGAUUUUGGUCGCAAUAUGUAAAAGUAUUGUUAUUAAAAUCGUGGGAGGAAGGCGAGGAUGACGCCAGGUCAGCAUGUCCCUCUGAUAUCCUGGGCUACACACAUAAUACAAUCGGUGCGACAACGCGUCGCGACGGGGAAACCCUGAGCCAAUCGUUAUAAACGCACCGCCAGUUCGGAUUGAGGUCUGCAACUCGACCUCAUGAAGCCGGAAUUGCUAGUAAUCGCAGGUCAGCUAUACUGCGGUGAAUACGUUCUCAAGUCUUGUACACAC
This 1362-nucleotide ribosomal RNA is filed under the name uncultured bacterium. RNAcentral's name for it is "bacterial SSU rRNA". It matches the Rfam family "Bacterial small subunit ribosomal RNA". The record is from RNAcentral.